AUCAGUGUUUUUGCCCGUUUGCCAGUUCGUUCUUUUACUUCGUUUCGAAGCUUUUACCACCGGUCUGGAUCUACAAAAACGUGAAAGCAUGAACCAAAUUGAACCAAGGGAACGCGGAGGUGCGCGACAUGGGUUGACAGGUUCCGUUGCGCCUAAAAAUCUCAACCCAGCUUCGGGCGGACUAACCUAUCUUCACGAAGCGCGGGGAAACAUUUUCCCAGGACAAAAGUGAGGAAACUUCUAAUAGUGUUUCAUAGCUUCAAGAACAAAUUGAUGGUGAUAUCUGAGUGCCUUUUUAUUUCAAGAACAAUGGUAUGACUCAUUUCCUUGAUCAAAAUAUGGUGUUGACCAUGAUUCUCCGAUUUUGAAGUCAUUUGUGUCUGCGUGUGGAGAUCAGCCGUUCCCAUUUUUGGUCGGAGAGACUCAACUUGGCAUCACGCACCAAUGCACUACAACUACAGUGUGGGAACGCACUGCGGCCCGGGUGACCGACGCACGUCGGGCGUUCCAUUCGUUCGCAGUAUGGAUGGGCCCUCUGAUCAAUCCAUCGCGCAGGGCCGCGCCGCAGCCGCCACGCCUCUCCAGGUGCAGGAGCAGCUGCCCACUGUCCAGGUUGACGGCAUCCUGGAGGCCCUGGCAUGCGCGAAGGCUGCCGGCUGCACCCCGAGAAGGCCAUCAUGCUGCAAUGCCUGUUCCAAUCAUCCCGGUGACGAGACGUCCGGCAGCCCCACGUCAUCGCCGUCCUGGGUGUCGUCGUCAUCCUGGAGGGUUUGACCCCUGGCGCGCCUCCACUGUGACAGGUUCAUUGUCCCCGCGUCCUAGACAAUGCCGGUGCAGAUUACGUCGUGGGGGAUCAGCCGGCCAGGGAUUCGUCAUCCGGGCCAAUCAGGACUCGCCAUGCGAAGAUCCGCCCCACGGUGUGGGAAAGCGGGGCCCCGCCUCGCAGGACUGUACCGGCCGGGCGAAAAUCCACACCGGGAAGAACCACCCGACAGGAGAGGUUUCACAAGUGAAAUUUGCCAAAAUAAAUGUUGGGCAAGCCCACGUCGUUGAUUUUUGUAACCUCCCCAGAA
This is an RNA transcript of Thrips palmi, 1073 nucleotides long. RefSeq lists it as uncharacterized. The transcript is spliced from 4 exons. NCBI's taxonomy places the organism in Eukaryota, Metazoa, Arthropoda, Insecta, Thysanoptera, Thripidae. The record is from RefSeq and is a predicted model, not a curated record.